This 1217-nucleotide ribosomal RNA is filed under the name Flavobacterium sp. ICM 308. Its description in RNAcentral is "bacterial SSU rRNA". It matches the Rfam family "Bacterial small subunit ribosomal RNA", at positions 91 to 1315 of the family's 1533-position model. The record is from RNAcentral. Lineage: Bacteria; Pseudomonadati; Bacteroidota; Flavobacteriia; Flavobacteriales; Flavobacteriaceae.
GAGACCGGCGCACGGGUGCGUAACGCGUAUGCAAUCUACCUUUCACAGAGGGAUAGCCCAGAGAAAUUUGGAUUAAUACCUCAUAGUAUUAUAGAGUGGCAUCACUUUAUAAUUAAAGUCACAACGGUGAAAGAUGAGCAUGCGUCCCAUUAGCUAGUUGGUAAGGUAACGGCUUACCAAGGCAACGAUGGGUAGGGGUCCUGAGAGGGAGAUCCCCCACACUGGUACUGAGACACGGACCAGACUCCUACGGGAGGCAGCAGUGAGGAAUAUUGGACAAUGGGCGCAAGCCUGAUCCAGCCAUGCCGCGUGCAGGAUGACGGUCCUAUGGAUUGUAAACUGCUUUUGCACAGGAAGAAACAACGCUACGUGUAGCGUCUUGACGGUACUGUGAGAAUAAGGAUCGGCUAACUCCGUGCCAGCAGCCGCGGUAAUACGGAGGAUCCAAGCGUUAUCCGGAAUCAUUGGGUUUAAAGGGUCCGUAGGCGGUUUAGUAAGUCAGUGGUGAAAGCCCAUCGCUCAACGGUGGAACGGCCAUUGAUACUGCUAAACUUGAAUUAUUAGGAAGUAACUAGAAUAUGUAGUGUAGCGGUGAAAUGCUUAGAGAUUACAUGGAAUACCAAUUGCGAAGGCAGGUUACUACUAAUGGAUUGACGCUGAUGGACGAAAGCGUGGGUAGCGAACAGGAUUAGAUACCCUGGUAGUCCACGCCGUAAACGAUGGAUACUAGCUGUUGGGAGCAAUCUCAGUGGCUAAGCGAAAGUGAUAAGUAUCCCACCUGGGGAGUACGUUCGCAAGAAUGAAACUCAAAGGAAUUGACGGGGGCCCGCACAAGCGGUGGAGCAUGUGGUUUAAUUCGAUGAUACGCGAGGAACCUUACCAAGGCUUAAAUGUAGAUUGACCGGUUUGGAAACAGACUUUUCGCAAGACAAUUUACAAGGUGCUGCAUGGUUGUCGUCAGCUCGUGCCGUGAGGUGUCAGGUUAAGUCCUAUAACGAGCGCAACCCCUGUUGUUAGUUGCCAGCGAGUCAUGUCGGGAACUCUAACGAGACUGCCAGUGCAAACUGAGAGGAAGGUGGGGAUGACGUCAAAUCAUCACGGCCCUUACGCCUUGGGCUACACACGUGCUACAAUGGCCGGUACAGAGAGCAGCCACUGGGUGACCAGGAGCGAAUCUACAAAACCGGUCACAGUUCGGAUCGGAGUCUGCAACUCGA